This 108-nucleotide ribosomal RNA is filed under the name Mesocricetus auratus (golden hamster). The record is from RNAcentral. Lineage: Eukaryota; Metazoa; Chordata; Mammalia; Rodentia; Cricetidae.
UCUGCAAGCUCUGGACCCUGACAUGUGCAGUCAUCUUGUAAACUAAGCAGGGUCUGGCCUGUUUGUAUUGUCUGGGAGACCACCUGGGAAUGCCAAGUCCUGUAAGAC